RNAcentral lists this ribosomal RNA (495 nucleotides) under uncultured bacterium. Its description in RNAcentral is "partial 16S ribosomal RNA". It matches the Rfam family "Bacterial small subunit ribosomal RNA", at positions 28 to 507 of the family's 1533-position model. The record is from RNAcentral.
GACGAACGCUGGCGGCGUGCCUAAUACAUGCAAGUAGAACGCUGAAGGAGGAGCUUGCUCUUCUGGAUGAGUUGCGAACGGGUGAGUAACGCGUAGGUAACCUGCCUGGUAGCGGGGGAUAACUAUUGGAAACGAUAGCUAAUACCGCAUAACAGUAGAUGUUGCAUGACAUUUGCUUAAAAGGUGCAAUUGCACCACUACCAGAUGGACCUGCGUUGUAUUAGCUAGUUGGUGGGGUAACGGCUCACCAAGGCGACGAUACAUAGCCGACCUGAGAGGGUGAGCGGCCACACUGGGACUGAGACACGGCCCAGACUCCUACGGGAGGCAGCAGUAGGGAAUCUGCGGCAAUGGACGGAAGUCUGACCGAGCAACGCCGCGUGAGUGAAGAAGGGUUUCGGAUCGGAAAGCUCGGUUGUAAGAGAAGAACGAGUGUGAGAGUGGAAAGUUCACACUGUGACGGUAUCUUACCAGAAAGAGACGGCUAACUACGUG